AAGACUUUCACACAUGUCAAUUCACUUAUAAUAGGUGUAAUACCUCAGUUUUUCCCGGCCCAUUGGAAGCCAAGGCAUAAUCCAAAAUUUCAAAAUAUAAAUAAAAGUCUCUUAACAGUCUUUUACCCAAAUACAAAAGCCUAAACGGUAGGCCCAAAUACAAGAGACCUUACCCAGUUACAAUAACCAGCAGGCCCACUGUUACAUCCUACCCAGAUACACUAAACCUAAGACCCAUUACAAUAGACCCAAGUGGACCCAAGACAAAAGGGGCCCAAGUGGCCCAGCUUGUUACACCAAGGCAUGAAACCCUAGGGUUUCUGCCUUUCUCCUUGCGCCGCAAGCAGAAGGUUCCAGAAGCCAAGCCUCAUGACUCUUCAGCUCCUGCUGUUCCAGCUACCCCAUCAAGGCCAUGAUUCCAGGCCCCAAGUCAUGCCGAGAUCAACACUACCAGUGGACCAUCGUCAAGCCUUUGCCAUUGCCGGAUUUUUUGCAAAUACCUGCAAGACAAGACAAAAGACACAAAGCAGAGAAGGAAACACAGCAAAUACAUAGAGCAAGAAAAAGGAAACUAAAAAGUAUCUCAGCGAAUCAAGGUCAAAGAUACAGUGAGCAAGAAAUAGAAAGAAAUCGAAGAUUUCUUUCCCAAUUUUUGUAAUAAAUAGUGGCUAUAAAAGCCCGAAAAACCAAUGUAAUAGGGGGGAUUUUUUUUAAGAGAACAGAAAGUAUACUGACAUUCAUUCAGAGAAAUAAAAACAGUCCCUAAAAGGUGAUUUAAUUGUACCUUGUUCUUAUUUUAGCAUGCAUAUAUAAAUCAUUCUAAGCAGAGAUUGUUGGGUUUUAGAAAAAGAAGGAAAGUUACCUAUAUUACGCUGGAAAAUGGAAGGGUUUUUAUCCCUCCGACCACCAUGCAUGGCGGCGCGUAGGCGCGUGGGAACCAGUGGACGGAGGUUCCAUGGAACUCCGAUGGCCAGCCCCUAG
RNAcentral lists this long non-coding RNA (981 nucleotides) under Gossypium barbadense (sea-island cotton). RNAcentral describes it as "long non-coding RNA (GBAR_LNC005721)". Lineage: Eukaryota; Viridiplantae; Streptophyta; Magnoliopsida; Malvales; Malvaceae. The record is from RNAcentral.